Long non-coding RNA from Dioscorea cayenensis subsp. rotundata (Guinea yam), 797 nucleotides. RefSeq lists it as uncharacterized. The transcript is spliced from 3 exons. The record is from RefSeq and is a predicted model, not a curated record. NCBI's taxonomy places the organism in Eukaryota, Viridiplantae, Streptophyta, Magnoliopsida, Dioscoreales, Dioscoreaceae.
CCCCACAACCAUGUCCUCCCUCUCUUUUGGCUACACCAUGAAACCAUUCCUUGGAAUGUUAAAUGUCAGAACUUCCAAGCUUCAAGAAGCAAAGGUUCUCUUCAUCUUCAUCUUCAUCUUCAUCUUCUUCUUCUUCAUCCUUGAAGAACUUGAUUGGUUGGAGGUUGGAGAGAAAGUUCCAGAGUGGAGUGGCUUGUUCUCUAUAGCUAUUUGGGGCUUUGAAGGAAGAUUGUCUUAGCUUGUGGGAAUGAGUUGGAGUGGAGCUUUUUCAUGGUACGAGAAAGCUAUGGAGAACACAAGGAUAUCAUUUGGGUGAAAAGAAGAAGAAAACAGGCCCAAAAUCACUGUAGCAGAGUUACCAUAGCGAUAUCAAUGUAGCAAACAUUGUAGCAGCGGGAUUGUUUGAAGCUGCUUGUCUAGAACUUCAUGCGGCCCCCAUACAGCCCGUAUGGAGGCUGUAUGCAGCCCAUAUGUACCCCCGUAUGAAGCGAAAAUCUAGGUUUUGAGUGCCAUACGGCCCCCAUAUGGCAAGUAUGCUGUGAAGGGUAUAAAUGCAGAUUUCUAGGGCAGAAAUGGGAGACUUUUUGGACAGAUUUUGAGAGGGCUUCUUGGAGACUUCUUGGGAGACCUUGAGCGACCUUGGGAUGAAGAAGAGCAAGGAAACAAGGAGAUCAUCUAAGGGCAAGGUCAAAGGCUCCCAAGGAAAGAAGAUAUCAUCAUUCAAUGUGGAGAUCGACAACUAUUUGAAGGAAGGAGACCCGUGGCUAGAGGAAGCAUCAUACGGCAUUCCUUUGGCA